This 468-nucleotide ribosomal RNA is filed under the name uncultured bacterium. RNAcentral describes it as "partial 16S ribosomal RNA". It matches the Rfam family "Bacterial small subunit ribosomal RNA", at positions 28 to 507 of the family's 1533-position model. The record is from RNAcentral.
GAUGAACGCUGGCGGCGUGCUUAACACAUGCAAGUCGAACGGAAAGGCCCUGCUUUUGUGGGGUGCUCGAGUGGCGAACGGGUGAGUAACACGUGAGUAACCUGCCCUUGACUUCGGGAUAUCUUCAGGAAACUGGGACUCAUACCGGAUAGGUGCUCCUGCUGCAUGGCGGGGGUUGGAAAGUUUCGGCGGUGGGGGAUGGACUCGCGGCAUAUCAGCUUGUUGGUGGGGUAGUGGCUUACCAAGGCUUUGCCGGGUAGCCGGGCUGAGCGGGGGACCGGCCACGUUGGAACUGAGAUACGGCCCAGACUCCAACGGGAGGCAGCAGAGGAGAAUAUUGCACAAUGGGCGGAAGCCUGAUGCAGCAACGCCGCGUGCGGGAUGACGGCCAGCGGGUUGGAAACCGCUUUCGCCUGUGACGAAGCGUGAGUGACGGUAAUGGGUAAAGAAGCACCGGCUAACUACGUG